RNAcentral lists this long non-coding RNA (420 nucleotides) under Carica papaya (papaya). RNAcentral describes it as "long non-coding RNA (CPAP_LNC013104)". The record is from RNAcentral. Lineage: Eukaryota; Viridiplantae; Streptophyta; Magnoliopsida; Brassicales; Caricaceae.
UUAAGAAAGAGAAUAUAAAUGUUGUUAGGCCUAAUUACAAGAAAAUCGGCCAAAAAACCCUACAAGCUUCCAAUCUUUUGAUCCAAUAUUAGGUAAAUAAAGAACUAAAGAUGGCAACCCAAAAAUUUGCAAGAAAUGGCCCAAAUUCCAUGGGUAACCCAUGGCCAACCCAUGGCCAAAGCAUGCCGCACAUAUGAGCAUCUUAACUCACAUGUGUGGGCUAGGAAUCAUGGGAGAAAGGGAACCCAGACAUGCGAGAUUCUCCCAAUCGUGAGGAGAAUCCACAUGCAAUGCUUUAUCUUCCUCCAAGUUGAUUACAUGAGUCCUUUUUGGACUUAACUGUGCGACAAUAAGAAGAAGAGAUCAACAAAACAACACGAGGAGAAUGCUAGAGCAAGAGGAGCUUGCGAGAAAAUAAAU